GAUCAGAAGGAGGACGGUUGUGUUGUGGAUAUGCAUCACUUCAACUCUGGGGCACAGUCUGUUCUUGCCUAUGCCACUGUGAAUGGCUCUCUGGUUGGCUGGGACCUUAGGUCUUCAAGCAAUGCGUGGACUUUAAAGCACGAUUUAAAGUCAGGCCUCAUCACUUCCUUUGCUGUGGACAUCCACCAAUGCUGGCUCUGCAUUGGUACAAGCAGUGGUACCAUGGCUUGUUGGGACAUGAGGUUCCAGUUGCCAAUUUCAAGUCACUGUCAUCCUUCCAGGGCUCGAAUCAGGCGCCUCUCAAUGCACCCUCUGUAUCAGUCCUGGGUGAUUGCAGCUGUUCAGGGCAACAACGAAGUGUCCAUGUGGGACAUGGAGACUGGUGACAGAAGAUUUACUCUCUGGGCCAGCAGUGCACCACCACUUUCUGAAUUACAGCCUUCUCCUCAUAGCGUCCAUGGUAUUUACUGUAGUCCUGCAGAUGGAAAUCCUAUCCUGCUAACAGCUGGCUCAGAUAUGAAAAUAAGGUUUUGGGACUUGGCUUACCCAGAAAGGUCCUAUGUUGUUGCAGGAAGUACUAGUUCCCCAUCUGUGUCCUACUACAGGAAAAUAAUUGAAGGCACUGAAGUUGUCCAGGUACUGUACUCUUUUCAUUCCUUUCAACUUUUGUAAGCACAUACAUGGCUUUUGUAAACAGAAUUGAUUAAAAUAAAUGGCUUGACCAAGCG
RNAcentral lists this small RNA (728 nucleotides) under Pongo abelii (Sumatran orangutan). RNAcentral's name for it is "retained intron". Lineage: Eukaryota; Metazoa; Chordata; Mammalia; Primates; Hominidae. The record is from RNAcentral.